Molecule: non-coding RNA, 5125 nt
Organism: Ictidomys tridecemlineatus (thirteen-lined ground squirrel)
Lineage: Eukaryota; Metazoa; Chordata; Mammalia; Rodentia; Sciuridae
Source: RefSeq, a predicted model, not a curated record
AGGGGGAGUAAGAGAGGAAAAGGGCGAGAGCAGCAGUGCUCAAGUCCGCCCACCCACCAGCCGUCCCAUGAAGAAGAUUCUGUUGUCCCCAUUUACUGAAGGAGGACAGGAGGUACUGGCCGGUGCUGCCUGCCUGGCUGCGCGUUCCUGUUGGCCAUGUGUGGGGCUGUGGUCCACCCAUCCCUCUCCCUUUGGGGUCCUGUACAGAGGGGUUCGCCUGUGGAGGGACAUGUGGCCGGGGAAGCUUGGGGAGAGUCUCAGGGUACUGCUAAAUGCUCUUCUGCUGGGCAGGUUUGGCCCCAGACCCAACACCACCGAGGUCAGGUGGGAGCUCCGGUUCUGGAGUCAAUGAAAGCAGGGUUACCUCUGUUGGCUGUGCCACGUCGGGUUGAUGAGGCAACUUCUCUGAACCUAGUCAAGGUAGGAUUUAUACUAGUGGCACAAGACUAUGACAGAGAUGAGCUGACAUAAUGGAGCAUUUCCAAAGAUGUGGAGACCACAGGUGGCACUUAAAAUGAUUUUGGAUAAUGCCCAGAAAGAAAGCAUUCGACAGCACUGCUCCUACCGUAAAGGCACCACAACCCGUUGAACUCCCUUGGGAUUCUCCUAAUUCAUCCAGAAGGUCUCCAUCCAAGGCAGCGUGUCCUUAACACCCAACGCCUGCUAAUUAUUUUGGUGGUUUUGCUCUUGUUUUAACAAGAGAGAAGACCUCAGGCUCGGGGACUACUGCCAGCAACGGUAUGUAAGUAGAGUUUAAUAAAUAUUUCCUCUGCGCUGGAGUCAUUUUUUGGUCACUGGCUGUCUAUUUAUAGUAGUAACCUGAAAAAUCUGCUUUGUCAGUAAAGGAAUUUAUGUUUUAAAAGCAGGUCCGAGCAAAGGGAGGCGGCCUGGGUAGAUGGCGGUACCCAAAGCAUUCAGAGGUGGCCAAGGUCAUAAAGGAAGCUUAGGAUGAUUGGGAGGGUCGGCCUCGGGCCACACAGCGGUUAAUGAUGCUGUUUUGAUACCAUCUCAAGAGGAGCCAUGGGACCUGAGAAGCAGGACACAUCCCAAAUGCAGACCCUCUGCUCCCUUCCCUCCACCACCAAAACUCAGACUGAGAGAAGACCAAAGCUUAUGUCCCGUGGGCGAGGCAGGGGCCUGGCAAGCCCCCCGCUGGACCCAGGACCAUCCCUGCCGCAUGCCCUGCCUGGGCGUCACUUUUCUUCAUCUGAAACAGAUGGGACCAAGAGGCUGAUCGUACCCUUCCAGUUCGGAGGAUCUAGCAAUCUUUGUUUGGUUGGUUCCUCACUUUCUCUUGGAGAUUCCUAAGAGAAGUGAUCAUGGAAGGCAGCCCUGGGCUUCCUCUAGGGAACAUUGCAAUGGGAAGAUGUUCUGUGCAAAAAUGAAUGAAUGAAAGAAUGCAUGGAUGGAUGGAUGUGAUUUUAUAAAUAUAUUCACUGGGGGGCAGGGGGCAGAGAAGUUCACUUGAGCUCACUGUUUCAGUUCCUCCUCUGCAAAAUUCUGUUCCUGUUGGUACCGACCUCACUGGGUUCUGAGGACUCAGCAAGGCCACGUGAUGUCUCACAGAGCAUGGGAAAUGAGAUACACAUCCGUUUUGUGGACGGGGCAUGAAGUCACGUGGAUUCCUCGGGCAAGUUUCCCUGUUCUCUGAGGAGAAAGUCCCCGUUUGGUGCUAAUAUGGUUUCAAUGCUUUACUGUCGCUUGCUCCAAAUCCUUUUAACUAAAUAGAAAGCCAGGACCUUGGCAGGCAGCAAGGUUCAACUGGAAUAGGAAAGACUACCCCCAGGCGGUCCCUGGAAACAGGGACAGGGCCCAGGGACAGAUUCCUCUAGGCAGGACAGGCACAGACAGGCGUCGGGUUAGGCAGUUCCUUCAGAACCAGAGGGGUCUUGGCCUAAUUUGUGCAAAAGACCUUCAGAUAAGGCCUGAAGACCCCUUUACAGAAUAAUGUGAGUUUUUUUAAUGCAAAACAAAAAUAUCUGCACUGUUCCCGUGGGUUUUUUUUUUUUUGAUCUUGGUAAAAUAUCCAUGAUGUAAAAUAUUUACUAUUGUCGCUUCCCCCCUCCCCCAAAACCACCACCUUCUUUGGGUAGUACUGGGAAUGGCACCCAGGGGAGCUCUACCACUGAGCUACAUCCUCAGCCCUUUUUAUUCUAUCUUUUAUUUUGAGACAGGGUCUCUCUAUGUUGCUGAGGCUGACCUCAAACUUGUGAUCCUCCUGCCUCAGCCUCCCAAAUAGCUGAGAUUAUAAGCAUGCACCUGGCCAUCUGAGCAUUUUUAAGCAGAUGAUUCAGUGGCAUUAAGCCCAUUCACGUGUUGUGCAAAGGUUGCCUCCAUCCAUUUCCAGAACUUUCUUUGUCUUCCCAAUUGAAACUUUGUCCCCAUUAAAAAUUAAGUCAUUAUUCCCCCUCCCCCCUCCCCCACCCUUCUGUGAAUCUGACUUCUCUAUGUUCCUCAUAUGAGCGCUAUAUAUGGAAUUACACCGUAUUUUUUCUUCCGUGUCUGGCUUAUUUCAUUUAGCAUAAAAUCCCCAAGGUUUAUUACAGAAUGUUUUCAUGUGCACAAAAUAAGAAAUAGGCUUAAAAGAAAAUCAAUCAUAUGUAAAACAACAGUUCUCUAAGUAAUUUUUCAAGCCAGGAUAGCAUCAUGGGUGCUUUUUAUUAAAUAACAAGAUACAGAGGUAGGCUUGACAAUUGUUACAGUCUCCAGAUAGUGAUGAGCCUGUUUCAAGACAGCAAGAACAGCCAGAAUGUGAUCCGAAAAUAUCCGUGAUUUUUCUAUUGAGGAAAAAUUUGAGAAACGCACUUGGAGUGCUGGUAAAGCAUGCGAUGUUGCCUGUAUUCAAAAUUGAUGGAAGUGCUGACUUUCAAUUUGAAGUUAGCAAAAAUUAAAAUAUAUAUAUAUAUGAUUUUUUGUUUCCUACCCAAUGUGUGGACUCCCUGAAUUUAUUCUCCUCCAAGAGCUGUUCCAUUUGGCCUGGCUUGUUGCUAUUGGUUGUGCACGCAGAUGCAGACACAGGGGCAGCCAGAAACACAGGGGACCCUCCCCUUGCACAGACCACAGCGUUCUAACCAAGAGGGGACAGGCAGCCCGGUUCGUAGUAGUUGCUUAAUUUUUCUCAUUUACAAAAGGGCUCUGGAUGGACAGCCUUUAAUUACGAGACAGUUGGCUUUUCAAAAGCAAUGUGUUCUAAUCAAGACCAUCUGGGCCCGGGCGGGGGCACUGCAGAAAUUAUAACUGCAGCUGAAAAACCACGAGACUCGCAGCAGGCGGACCACGGAGGCCUUGAGGGGGAGAAUGGUUUCCAUGUGCUUGGGAGACAGGGGCACGCCUCCCGCACUGUGUUCUCUGGCUUCAAAGCCAAGCCACAGUGCCAGUGGCCUGGGUUCUGCCUGCCCGUGUGGAAGGGGAACAGGAAGAGGCAGAAAAUAUGAGGCAGGGUGUUGGCUUAGAUGUCCAGUUACGUGAGAAUGUCAGAUAAGCCAGGGAUGGUUUUUAAUGUAACUGGGUACCAUGCAAUGUGCUAAAGUCACACCUGCACGUGGUUUGUUGUUCAUCUGAAAUUCAAGUUUGAACAAGUGUCCUGUAUUUUUAUCUGUGAACUCUGGCAAUGCCACCCCACUCAGACUGGAUUCUGGAACCUUUCCUCCAUAUCUUUGUAAAGAAACACCUGGGCUAGCCCGGGACACGCGGAGCUCAAGUUGGAGACAUCUGGGCAGUCGGCACAAGGAUCAAGAACUUCCGUGAGCUUUGGGGUCCUGAAGACUUCAAGGCUACUUCUGUGCAUUGGACCUUUGAGACAUCGUUGGAAAGAUCUUUUUGCUCAAAAACCUCCCUGUCAUCCAGCGGCCACGAAGCCUGAAGUUUCAUGAGAAUCUUGGUCAUCUUGAAAAACCCACCUGAGGCUUAUCCAGGUAAAGCCCGCUCUCUUUAGCUGGCCACGACCCGGGUCAUCCUGAGACCCUGAAACACGGGGCCAGGGUGGUGGCAGUAAGGAGGCUCUCAAAGAAUCUGGAAGGUGACCUGGGACUUGCCAAAGACAGAUGUGGCCAACUGGAAAAUUUGGCGACAGCAUGGCCCUGCCUCAAUUUGUCCCACCGAGCCAGUUAAACCUUGGUUCCAUGGCAUAAUAAAAAGGACAAUAAGCAUCAAUAUUAAUGGAUCAUUUCAUUCAAAAGAGCUUCCCACAAGAAAGCCAGACCCCCGGAUGCCAUCUUUUGCUAAGCAAAGCUCAAAGCCUUUCUUAUAUUGAUGGUCGAGACUUUUUUAUUAUUAUUAUUAUUUUUAUUUUUUCAACUGAAUGGAUGGAAAAGUUUUUCACAGACCUACAAAGCGUGGGUCGUAAAACAAAGCCUGAAAAUAUCCAGGGGCAGAGUUAUAGCUGGGAGGGCGUCUCUCCUCUUGCUAUGCACAGAUUGGUUCUACCGCUUGGCUCAAUGCUAACUGCUGGGGUUCCGUGUUCCUGGCAUCUAAAUGUGCCUUUCUCUGCCGACACUUGGGGCCACCUGCGUGUCAUCUUGAGGACAUGGGUGAGAGCCAAGCAACUGCUGAUAACUGGUGGUCCCCAAACCAUGACGAAACACAACAUCCAAGAAUCUGACUGGGUCCCUUGGCAGCCUCAGAAUUGCAAGAAAACGAAGACAGAAGUUUCUAGAAAGACAGGGGAGUUAAAAUCCUGGCAUUUUCUUCCGUUAUCAAUAACUGUGACUUAUUAAUUACCAAUGGAUGGUCACUAAACGAGGAAGGGUCUUUUCCCAUCAGAGUCUAAUUAGUUUUAUUGUCUUUUCUCUGAAACCCAUUGUAUUCCACUCUACCCAUCAGCUGCCUGCUUUAAUUAAUUUUGCACCACAUUCAAAGGUUUUGCUUUUGUGCCUCUCUGUUUGAUUUAAAUUCCCCCUUUUUUUUUUGCAAAUAAUAAAUAAAUAACUAUCAAAGCUAAUGAGGCUCUGAAGAUUUGAGAUGUAAAUAUCAUAUGCAGAUUCUUUUUUUGGGUCCCAGCUCAGCGGAAGACCAAAAAUAACACUUGGAAGUUUGAUUAAGAAAUCUCAGGCUCCCCCUCCCAAGCCUCCCUCCAGACAAGCUUUCUGCUGGUAUUUUCAGUUAUUUGGCAAAAAAAAAAAAAAAA